This 253-nucleotide ribosomal RNA is filed under the name uncultured bacterium. RNAcentral describes it as "partial 16S ribosomal RNA". It matches the Rfam family "Bacterial small subunit ribosomal RNA", at positions 524 to 776 of the family's 1533-position model. The record is from RNAcentral.
UACGUAGGGUGCGAGCGUUGUCCGGAAUCACUGGGCGUAAAGCGCACGUAGGCGGAUCUUUAAGUCAGGGGUGAAAUCCCAAGGCUCAACCUUGGAACUGCCUUUGAUACUGGGGAUCUCGAGUCCGGAAGAGGUUGGUGGAACUGCGAGUGUAGAGGUGAAAUUCGUAGAUAUUCGCAAGAACACCAGUGGCGAAGGCGGCCAACUGGUCCGGUACUGACGCUGAGGUGCGAAAGCGUGGGGAGCAAACAGG